RNAcentral lists this ribosomal RNA (750 nucleotides) under Nocardia pseudobrasiliensis. RNAcentral describes it as "bacterial SSU rRNA". It matches the Rfam family "Bacterial small subunit ribosomal RNA", at positions 130 to 892 of the family's 1533-position model. Lineage: Bacteria; Bacillati; Actinomycetota; Actinomycetes; Mycobacteriales; Nocardiaceae. The record is from RNAcentral.
CUCGCACUCUGGGAUAAGCCUGGGAAACUGGGUCUAAUACCGGAUAUGACCAGGGAAUGCAUGUUUCUUGGUGGAAAGGUUUACUGGUGCGAGAUGGGCCCGCGGCCUAUCAGCUUGUUGGUGGGGUAACGGCCUACCAAGGCGACGACGGGUAGCCGACCUGAGAGGGUGACCGGCCACACUGGGACUGAGACACGGCCCAGACUCCUACGGGAGGCAGCAGUGGGGAAUAUUGCACAAUGGGCGAAAGCCUGAUGCAGCGACGCCGCGUGAGGGAUGACGGCCUUCGGGUUGUAAACCUCUUUCGACAGGGACGAAGCGCAAGUGACGGUACCUGUAGAAGAAGCACCGGCCAACUACGUGCCAGCAGCCGCGGUAAUACGUAGGGUGCGAGCGUUGUCCGGAAUUACUGGGCGUAAAGAGCUUGUAGGCGGUUCGUCGCGUCGAUCGUGAAACCUUGCAGCUCAACUGCGAGCCUGCGGUCGAUACGGGCGGACUAGAGUACUUCAGGGGAGACUGGAAUUCCUGGUGUAGCGGUGAAAUGCGCAGAUAUCAGGAGGAACACCGGUGGCGAAGGCGGGUCUCUGGGAAGUAACUGACGCUGAGAAGCGAAAGCGUGGGUAGCGAACAGGAUUAGAUACCCUGGUAGUCCACGCCGUAAACGGUGGGUACUAGGUGUGGGUUUCCUUCCACGGGAUCCGUGCCGUAGCUAACGCAUUAAGUACCCCGCCUGGGGAGUACGGCCGCAAG